This is an RNA transcript of Esox lucius (northern pike), 936 nucleotides long. It is a transcript of the gene named RERG/RAS-like b, with no coding region annotated. Lineage: Eukaryota; Metazoa; Chordata; Actinopteri; Esociformes; Esocidae. The record is from RefSeq and is a predicted model, not a curated record. The transcript is spliced from 6 exons.
AUGACACCAAUAGGAAAGAGACAAAGAAAUAUCAUUUUUAUAAAUAAAAAAGGAGCGAAAGAGAGUGAGAGAGCUCUAGUCUGCAGCUAUGAAUGACAUCAAGCUGGCUUUGCUGGGCAGUGAGGGAGCAGGGAAAUCAGCUGUUCUGGUAAGGUUCCUGACAAAACGCUUCAUUGGAGAGUAUGCUUCCAACGCCAAUUCCUUAUAUCGUAAAAGGCUCUCCAUCGAAGGAAGAUUGUUAAACUUGGAAGUCUUUGAUCCGUGUUCCCAGACUGGAGAGAGCAGAUGUAUACUGGAGGAACCGAUGGAAUGGGCAGACGGAUUCAUUGUAGUGUACAACAUCAGCGACCGAAUGUCCUUCCUCAACGCCCAAAGCAUCCUGUGUCAGAUUAAAGAGACCCGUGGGGAAAGCUGCAAGGGGGAGCUAGACAAGAUGGACAUCCCAAUCUGCCUGGUGGGCAACAAGCAGGACCUGUGCCACGCCCGUCAGGUGUGUGAGGAGGAGGGCCACGUCCUGGCACAGGAGCACAGAUGCCACUUCCAGGAGGUGUCUGCUGCAGAAGACUACCUGGAUAUAUUCAAUCUCUUUACCAAGCUCAUCCGCCAUGUAAUGGAGCACCUGAAGUACCGUGCUGACCGCCGCCGCUACAAUGGCUCCAAGUCCAUGGCAAAGCUCAUUAAUAAUGUUUUUGGGAAAAGGAGGAAGUCUGUUUGAAAGUCAGGUUGUAACAGUAAUGAGGACUUUGGUUGAGUGGAACACUUGGUUUUGUGAAGAUGAUAACAGGGACAGCUCUUGUAAAUGUUAAUGGCAUACUUCAUAGUUCGAAGUUGGGUAUGCAGCCAGCACUUCAAAUUGAACCAAAGUUAAGGAACAGUGUGAUGAUGAUCGAAGUCAUCAAAUCCAGAUGAAGGCUUUCUAAUAGUUCUGCUGGAAUG